Long non-coding RNA from Felis catus (domestic cat), 2780 nucleotides. RefSeq lists it as uncharacterized. The transcript is spliced from 4 exons. The record is from RefSeq and is a predicted model, not a curated record. NCBI's taxonomy places the organism in Eukaryota, Metazoa, Chordata, Mammalia, Carnivora, Felidae.
UUGCCACAGGGCCCCAUCUUCCCACUGUUGGCUUUUGAUAUAAUAAUUUAUGAGAAAUAUAUAUUUGGUCAUUCGGAAACAUCUGCUCUUCAUCCGCAAAUGUUCGUCUAGUGGAGUGUUCGUCUAGUGGAGGAGUGAAAUGGGCAUCUUGUUAUUGACGAAGGUGACCUCUGGAUCCCGCCCAGGGGCGGGGCUGGUUGCCAGGAGGACCAACCAGUGAGUGGAGGGGUUGGACCUUUCUUGCCCACCCUGUCCCGCCCCCCGGGGAGGGGAGAGGCGCUGCAGGCUGAAUCAGGCAAUGGCCACGACUUCAUUAACCAUGACUAUGUAAUGAAGCCUCCAUAAAAACUGUAGAGGAGAGAUUUUAUUUCCGGAGCACUUCUGAUCUUCAAGCCGGAAGACUCCCACGGGCCACCAAGCUGGCCCCAAGCUCCACAAGGACAGAAGAUCUUUCGUUGGGGACCUCUCUUCAUCUGACUCUUGAUUCGUAUCCUUUAUCCCAUCCUUGAACAAACCAGUAGAUGGGUUUCCCGGAGUUCUGAAAGCUGCUCUGGCAAAUUAAUGGAACCUAAGGGAGGAAGCCAGUUGGUCAGAAGCGCAGGAUUUUAAACUCCGGUGCUUCUCACCAGGUCCCAGGACUUCACCCACCAGCCGUAAGCAAUGGAAAAGAGGAAGCCUGAUGCGGAGAACGGAUUAUCGAGAGAUAAUGGGAUCCUGAAGGAAGGAGUGACCCAGAAGUCAAAAGAAGGAAGAAUUUCAAGGUUAGACUUCUACAUCAGUGUGAGCGGGGACUUCAUUCAUUCAUCAUGACGUGAGCGACUUCUCUGCUGAGGCAGGCCUCCCUGGGUUGGGACUGAAUGCUGUUCUUUCUGGAAUGACCGAGGACGUCCUCUCAGAAGCAGAGACGCUUCCUGUCUCCUUGGCCACAUUUCUGCUCUGAGAGCAGGGUGCUCCUGUCUGUGCCUUCUCACCACCACCACGUCAGCUUUCAGGCCUGCGGACCCUUCUUCUGUCCCAUCCUCUGGCCCCAGCAUCUCAGAGCCCACCUUCCCCACUGGAUCCCAGGCCCUGCUUCCCACUAAUGCCUUUGAGCCUGAUGGCUGUGGGUCCUCCCUGCUUACUGCUUCCCGCGAGGUUCUGCCUUGGCAGCCCUGGUCCUGGUUUCUCCCCAUCCCCCUCCUCUCUAAAGUCCUGGCAGACGAAACUAGAACAAAGGGACCAAAGGGAAGGGGUAAGAACUCUGGAAGAGGCACCUGCUGUCAUCUGCCUUCUCCUCUGGGCUCUGGCCUCUUUGAAGAGCUGUCCCCAUACACUGCACUGUUAACAUUCACCCGCUGAUCCGUAGCACACGGCCUUCCCUUCCCCACCAUCUGUGCGCCAACAUAACUGCCUGGCUGUGCACACUGCAGACUGUAAAUAAACCAGUAGUCUCAACUUCGGAGGGAAAACCAAAGCACAGAAAUUACGUUAAUUCCGUUCCUAACCCAUUUACAUGCAUACAUUAAUAUGAAUCAUGUUCUGCUCCAGCUGUUUCAUUAUUACAAAUCAUCUUUGGUGAUAAAACCAUUAAGUAUAAAUAACCAAACAUCUCCCCUUCCAGCCACACCCUUCUACAACUGCCAACACAAUCUUGCUCAACUACAGUAAAAAUUCUCGUAGAGCGAUUGGGAAUUUAAAGCACACACACACACCCCCCACCCCAUGAUGCAAUUGCCCUAAAAUGGAUGUUAACCAUGAUGUUCCAAAGAAAACGUCAGGAAUGACGGGCUAUGGUGUGCGGACCGAGCUGGGGAUUAUUUUAGAAGAGCCUGAAUCCCAAGCAUUCAAGUUCCUACGCUCAUUAAGAUCAACACACAUCACAUGCUAUUGAGUGUUGGAUUUUACAUAAUUGUUGAGCAGAUGGGCUGUAGCCAUGAUUUCAUGCAAAUGUAAAUUAUCUUCGAGAUGAAAUGUGCUUGAGAAAGAUACACCAAGCUCAAAUUUCCAAACAGAGGGGAAACAACAGCUCACCAAAGUCCCAUUAUUUACUCAGCUGCUUUUGAAUGCAAGUCUCCUAGCCAAUGUUUUGAAAAACCUAUCCCACGGUCUCAGGAACAGGGAGAGGUAAAGUAUGCGGCCUGGGCUCCUCUCCCUUUCCCAGGCCUCGACAGCCAGCCAGCUGCAGAGACAGGAACUGUGCUUUUCCUUGGGCCUAAUCCAGGGACGUGAAUAUUGUAAUUCUUUCUUUUUCUUUACCAUAUUUUAUAUUGAGAUAUAAUUACAUACAAUGAAAUGCAUGGCUCUCAGGCGUUCAGAUGGAUGAAUUUUGACAGUUGUUUAUGCACGUGUAACGAACACCCAACACAAGAUACAGAACGUUUCCAUCACACCAGAGAAUUUCCAUCCCUAUCCUCAACCGGGCAACCGUUGACUAGUCUUUUGUCACUGUAGCAUUAGUUCUGUCUGUUCUAGAAGGUCAUAUAAGUAAACUCCUACAGUAAUAACCUUCUUUGCAUGUAGCUUCUUUCCCUCAACACAACAUCUUUGAAUAAUUCAUUCAGGUCAUUGCAUGUAGUCACCCUUCUUUUUUUUAUUGCCAACUUAGUGGGGAAAGGAAAAUAUUUUUAAUAAUGUUGCUAGGGCGGCCGGAUGCAUGUGUGGAAAACAAACUGAAUCUCGAUCCCUAUCUCACUCUGUAUACAAAUGCUAAUUCAAAAUCAAGCAUAGGCACAAAACUGCUAGAAUGAAGCAUAACAACUUAAUGACCUUGGGAUGGGCAAAGAGUCCUUGAACAGAAUACA